CAUGCACCAGUGGGGUCCCUCAGCCUAGCCUGCGCCCUCUCGCAAUCUGGGACCCCUCAGGGGAUGUCGGAGAGCUAAUUUCAGCCCGAUCCCGCAGGCCAGGCUGAGGGACCCCACUGGUGCACG
Molecule: microRNA precursor, 126 nt
Filed under: Myotis lucifugus (little brown bat)
Lineage: Eukaryota; Metazoa; Chordata; Mammalia; Chiroptera; Vespertilionidae
Description: mir-9193 microRNA precursor family
Rfam family: mir-9193 microRNA precursor family
Source: Rfam by way of RNAcentral